This 422-nucleotide ribosomal RNA is filed under the name uncultured Streptococcus sp. RNAcentral describes it as "bacterial SSU rRNA". It matches the Rfam family "Bacterial small subunit ribosomal RNA", at positions 957 to 1382 of the family's 1533-position model. The record is from RNAcentral. Lineage: Bacteria; Bacillati; Bacillota; Bacilli; Lactobacillales; Streptococcaceae.
CAACGCGAAGAACCUUACCAGGUCUUGACAUCCCGAUGCCCGCUCGUAGAGAUAGAGCUUUACUUCGGUACAUCGGUGACAGGUGGUGCAUGGUUGUCGUCAGCUCGUGUCGUGAGAUGUUGGGUUAAGUCCCGCAACGAGCGCAACCCCUAUUGUUAGUUGCCAUCAUUAAGUUGGGCACUCUAGCGAGACUGCCGGUAAUAACCGGAGGAAGUGGGAUGACGUCAAAUCAUCAUGCCCCUUAUGACCUGGGCUACACACGUGCUACAAUGGUUGGUACAACGAGUCGCAAGCCGGUGACGGCAAGCUAAUCUCUUAAAGCCAAUCUCAGUUCGGAUUGUAGGCUGCAACUCGCCUACAUGAAGUCGGAAUCGCUAGUAAUCGCGGAUCAGCACGCCGCGGUGAAUACGUUCCCGGGCCUU